AAGUCGUAACAAGGUUUCCGUAGGUGAACCUGCGGAAGGAUCAUUACUGAGCCUGGGUGCUUCGGCGCCCGACCUCCAACCCUUUGUUUACCUUACCACUGUUGCCUCGGCGCUCGGGGGAAACCCUUCGCCGGUGGGCCUUUAACGCAAAAAAUACCCAAUUUGCCAAAUCCCAACGUCUUCUUGAGAAAAUUAUUUAAUAACUUCAAAA
Molecule: unclassified non-coding RNA, 211 nt
Filed under: plant metagenome
Description: partial contains small subunit ribosomal RNA and internal transcribed spacer 1
Rfam family: Eukaryotic small subunit ribosomal RNA (bases 1-46)
Source: RNAcentral